Molecule: non-coding RNA, 77 nt
Organism: Podarcis lilfordi (Lilford's wall lizard)
Lineage: Eukaryota; Metazoa; Chordata; Lepidosauria; Squamata; Lacertidae
Source: the annotation of a GenBank genome assembly
UCCUCCAAGGAUCUCUCAGUUGGUAAAGCAUUAGACUCUUCAUCUCAAGGUUGUGGGUUCGAGUCCCACGUUGGGAA